RNAcentral lists this ribosomal RNA (253 nucleotides) under uncultured bacterium. Its description in RNAcentral is "partial 16S ribosomal RNA". It matches the Rfam family "Bacterial small subunit ribosomal RNA", at positions 524 to 776 of the family's 1533-position model. The record is from RNAcentral.
UACGGGGGGGGCAAGCGUUGUUCGGAAUUACUGGGCGUAAAGGGCUCGUAGGCGGCCAACUAAGUCAGACGUGAAAUCCCUCGGCUUAACCGGGGAACUGCGUCUGAUACUGGAUGGCUUGAGUUCGGGAGAGGGAUGCGGAAUUCCAGGUGUAGCGGUGAAAUGCGUAGAUAUCGAGAGGAACACCAGUGGCGAAGGCGAGUCCCUGGACAACGACUGACACUGAGGCACGAAAGCUAGGGGAGCAAACAGG